GACGAACGCUGGCGGCGUGCUUAACACAUGCAAGUCGAACGGAAAGGCCCUGCUUUUGUGGGGUGCUCGAGUGGCGAACGGGUGAGUAACACGUGAGUAACCUGCCCUUGACUUUGGGAUAACUUCAGGAAACUGGGGCUAAUACCGGAUAGGAGCUCCUGCUGCAUGGGGGGGGUUGGAAAGUUUCGGCGGUUGGGGAUGGACUCGCGGCUUAUGAGCUUGUUGGUGGGGUUGUGGCUUACCAAGGCUUUGACGGGUAGCCGGCCUGAGAGGGUGACCGGCCACCUUGGGACUGAGAUGCGGCCCCGACUCCUACGGGAGGCAGCAGUGGGGAAUAUUGCACAAUGGGCGGAAGCCUGAUGCAGCAACGCCGCGUGCGGGAUGACGGCCUUCGGGUUGUAAACCGCUUUCGCCUGUGACGAAGCGUGAGUGACGGUAAUGGGUACAGAAGCACCGGCUAACUACGUG
This 468-nucleotide ribosomal RNA is filed under the name uncultured bacterium. Its description in RNAcentral is "partial 16S ribosomal RNA". It matches the Rfam family "Bacterial small subunit ribosomal RNA", at positions 28 to 507 of the family's 1533-position model. The record is from RNAcentral.